This 3155-nucleotide long non-coding RNA is filed under the name Pan troglodytes (chimpanzee). RNAcentral describes it as "long non-coding RNA NONPTRT007302". The record is from RNAcentral. Lineage: Eukaryota; Metazoa; Chordata; Mammalia; Primates; Hominidae.
UUUUUCUAGACCUGCGUAAAUUCAGGACCUAUAAAGGUGGUUCUGUCAGAGAUCUCCUCCGAGCCAUGAGAAAUAAGAAGCACCACUACCGGGAGCUGCCUGCAGAGGUGCGGGAGACGCUGGGGUCCCUCCCCGACGACUUCGUGUGCUACUUCACAUCUCGCUUCCCCCACCUCCUCGCACACACCUACCGGGCCAUGGAGCUGUGCAGCCACGAGAGACUCUUCCAGCCCUACUACUUCCACGAGCCCCCAGAGCCCCAGCCCCCAGUGACUCCAGACGCCCUCUGAGCGAGGGCGGCCCCUCUGUUCUGGUGGCCCCAGCUGUGACUGAGGGCCUGGUCACCACAAUUAGAGCUUGAUGCCUCCCGGCUUUGCAGGGAGACCAGGCUUCCCAAACCAAGUGCCUUGAGCUGCCUGCUCUGCAGCCCACAGAGGACAGUGCUGACCCCAGGAAGUGGGAGAAGUGGCCCCUCGUGACCUACAGGGAACUGGGAAGAUGCUGGCCCCAAAAGCCUUACGGUCAUGAUGUCUGCAAAGGAGGGCCUCAGAGACAGCGCGAGUAGCACCCCCAGCCAUCUACUGGAUAAACUUGCUUCAGACUUUUUAAAUUCCUGCUUAAUGUCAGUCUACAGGCCUUUCAGGAAGGGAGAGGAGGGAAUCCUACAUUUUGCUUGCGUGCUGGGACAGCUAGGCUGAGAUGCACCAAGUACAGCCUUCACUGGAGACCGGACUUGAGAGGUGGGGGAUGCUGAGGAGGGGGAGGACGGAGUUCAGAGGGUGUCGUCCUGCAGUAUGAGAUUUCUCAUUGAUCACAGAUGUGCCCAGAGUAGCCCAGGUCACUGUUAACUAGUGUUUCUGCAGAGGCAGCAGGAGCCAUGAGCAUGAGGCGUGGCAUUAGGGACCGGUCAGCUAUGCAUGCUGGCAGGUGUGGUUGUGUCUGCAGGUCUCAGAAAUGAAGAGGCUGCUCUGUUCUGGAGGCAGCUGUGGCCCAGUGCCAGUGGUCAGAACAGUGGCCUUUGGUGGGUGUGUCCCGGGCCAUCUGGGGUGGUGCUCAGGAGCGCCUGGGGCAAGAGGUAAAGAGUUCCCUGGCCUUCAAGGAGAGCAGCGAAGACCCAGACAGGGGCUAGCCUUCAGGACCAGAGGGAGGCCGCCGAAUGGGACCCUCCUGGUCACCAGGAGAAAGCCCUGGGCCAGCGAGUAGGCAGUCAAACUCCUUCGUCCCCAAGGCCGGUGGAACAAGAGGCUCGUGGUGAGUCAGGGCCAGGGUGGGCGGCCAAGGCCAGGGUCACCGUGUGCUUCAUGGGCCAGCUUUUUUGUUUUUCUUGGCAAAUUUUAAUAACUAUAUUUUGAUUAUACUGUAGAAUGCUAUGUCAGCAUAAGUAAGCUAAACUUGAAGCUUUCUUGUGAAGAAUAAAUGCAAGAUAGAAUACAUCUUCUAUUUUUUGUGGUACCAAAAAUCACCAUCCCCUCAAGAGUGUUCAUGUAUAGAACAUUCUCUAAUGCUGAAGAGUAAAACAUUAUAGCAACACUAUGUAAAUGUAUUGAACAGUAUCAAAGAAAUAGUCUCUAAAUUGUUUGUACCAUAUUUUUUUUCUAAACUUAACAUAAUUUUUAGCUUUAGUUUCAGUCAAAACUUUGUCUUUUCUCUCCCGAGAGCCUUAGAGGUUAAAAUGCAAUCAGCCUACCGUGUAAGGAGAUGUUGUCCAUGUACUUUCUCCAGCCAGUUGGGGGAUCAUUGCAGCUCAGGCCUGGUGAACUCAGAGAUUCCAUUCAAUAUUAAGAAUGGGAUUGUUGAAUUUUACUCACAGAGAAAUCACUGUUUCUUCAUGUUGUAAGAUGUUUUCUGUUUGUGUAUUUGUAUCAUGGUUACUCAUCAAAAGCUCUCAUUCUGCCUUUGUAGAAUUCAGUUCCCUUCCUUUCAUCAUAGCUAAAGUGACUUUUUUCCCUACUAUUAACGUGAUCCUACAUCCUUAAAUCUCAUCGAUUACCUCACUUAGGCCUUGGAACCUUGGCCCUUGGUCGGUGUCCUUGGCGUCUUCUAAGCAAGGCUGUGCGUUGUUCAGAAACGUGGCCAGACUGCGUUUCCUGCUGCUCCCAUGCCGCAUGCCAGGUGGCCUGAGACAGAGCUCCCCAUACGGCUGCAAGGUGCUUUACCUGUGGGCUUUGGCAGUAACCCAAGAGAGGAUCAGAAGGUGGAGAAGGUGCCACGAGUGAUUUAACAGGACUGCCACAGGGAGUGCCCCCCGCCCAGCUCGUUCUCAGCACAGGUUUUCUCUUUGGGAGUACCCAGGUGAUUUCUAGUGACCCAAUUUUGUGUCAUCUCCCUGUUUUAGCCCCACUUGCCUAGAGACAACUGUUUCCGAUGCCUUUUCUGCUUAUCAUACUAGUUUCUAACCACCCAGAUUUCUCAAAAUCAUUUAUUCAAUGUAUUUUAUUUGAGCACUUAGUGUAUUGAGCUAGGCAGGAUAUAGGGUGCUGGAGAUACAGCGAUGAACAAGACAGGCAAAACUUCCGCUUUCCUAAAACUUGUGAUGAGAGAGAACAAUAAAAAAGUGUUGCUGCCACAAAGAAACCAAAGUGUGUGGGGAAGGGCGCAUGUUUGCGGUUUACAUCUCUUCUGUCCCAGAAUCACAGGGAUCUGGUCCGGUCACCUCUGGUCUUUCCUCUUAGUCGCCUUUAGGAGCCCUGGUUCCCGUCCAUCCUCUGGGGGGUUUGUUUGAAGAGAUCUCGUGUGGGUACUUGUCAUGAAAACACCUUGGGCAUCAUCUGGUGUACCCAGUUCUAGUCUCGAGAAUUCUGGUUUCCCACUGUGCUCAGCAAGUGGAAAGUUCUUUUCAGGCCAGAACAGCUCUGCACCAUCACAUAUCGUGUUGCGGCUUAGCUGUUUGGUCUGUAGUUCAGGUUAUGGGACUUCUCCAAUCCUGGAAGGCUGUUGAGCUUUUUAGAAGUACUGUACGCUAUCUUCAAGAUGGAGCUUGGUCACAUCUGUUAGGAAUCCAAAGGACACUAUGACUUAUUUAAAUCUUGUCUUACUAAACCUCUCUUGGGCACGUGUGCCAGAAUUUCUCUUGUUGCUUCUUGAGUCUUUUUAAUUUCAGUGUUUUUUCGUUUGUUUUUUGUUUUUUUGAGACAGAGUCUCGCUCUGUCACCCAG